GUACACUCCUACGGGAGGCAGCAGUGGGGAACAUUGGACAAUGGGCGCAAGCCUGAUCCAGCCAUGCCGCGUGAGUGAUGAAGGCCCUAGGGUUGUAAAGCUCUUUCACCGGUGAAGAUAAUGACGGUAACCGGAGAAGAAGCCCCGGCUAACUUCGUGCCAGCAGCCGCGGUAAUACGAAGGGGGCUAGCGUUGUUCGGAUUUACUGGGCGUAAAGCGCACGUAGGCGGACUAUUAAGUCAGGGGUGAAAUCCCGGGGCUCAACCCCGGAACUGCCUUUGAUACUGGUAGUCUUGAGUUCGAGAGAGGUGAGUGGAAUUCCGAGUGUAGAGGUGAAAUUCGUAGAUAUUCGGAGGAACACCAGUGGCGAAGGCGGCUCACUGGCUCGAUACUGACGCUGAGGUGCGAAAGCGUGGGGAGCAAACAGGAUUAGAAACCCGAGUAGUCCCAUGA
This 453-nucleotide ribosomal RNA is filed under the name uncultured organism. RNAcentral describes it as "partial 16S ribosomal RNA". It matches the Rfam family "Bacterial small subunit ribosomal RNA", at positions 331 to 800 of the family's 1533-position model. The record is from RNAcentral.